RNAcentral lists this long non-coding RNA (211 nucleotides) under Phoenix dactylifera (date palm). RNAcentral's name for it is "long non-coding RNA (PDAC_LNC014606)". The record is from RNAcentral. Lineage: Eukaryota; Viridiplantae; Streptophyta; Magnoliopsida; Arecales; Arecaceae.
UUUUUUUUGCUUUAUUGAUACUUAGGUAAUGCAAUACCCAUGCAAGGUAUAGUUACUCAUGUUUUACAUGCUGAUGUGGCCUAGUCGCAUCAGUAAAUUAAAUCAAAAUUUAAAAAAAAAAUCUGUCUCCCUUCUAUCCUUCCCCACCUAUGGUGACUCCAUGGUCCUUUGCUUCUUCACCUUGCCUAUGUCUGUCUUGGUCUCAUCUUUU